Molecule: non-coding RNA, 79 nt
Organism: Dermacentor silvarum
Lineage: Eukaryota; Metazoa; Arthropoda; Arachnida; Ixodida; Ixodidae
Source: the annotation of a RefSeq genome assembly
GUGCUCGUGGUGUAGUGGUUAUCAGUAUCACAUCCGCCUAGCACGUGGAAGGGCCCAGGUUCGAUCCCUGGCCGGCACA